This is a long non-coding RNA of Mytilus trossulus (common blue mussel), 643 nucleotides long. RefSeq lists it as uncharacterized. The record is from RefSeq and is a predicted model, not a curated record. The transcript has 3 exons. NCBI's taxonomy places the organism in Eukaryota, Metazoa, Mollusca, Bivalvia, Mytilida, Mytilidae.
CUCAUUCAGUUGUUUAAGUUUGACUCUUUGGGGAAUUAUAUUGAGAUCUGUCUUUUAUUCUUUAAUUUCUUAAAAUGUUUCCUUGGAUUUAAGAUUUAAGAUUGUGGGAAUAUAAAUCAUAUUAUGCCUCUGUCCGUUAGAAAGUCCGACAAUUAACAACUUUGCUAUAGAAUGUUCGAAGGAUUAUUUUAAUUUGUAUGGUUUUAAAACGGGUGCAAUGUGAAGAACAGACUGCGACCAGACCAAACAGCCAUGCUUAGUGACACCUUCAAGCGGGAAGUGAAUAUAAAGUUUUCACAGUUGUUAUUGAAUAAACAAGAUGAGGACUGUUUUGCUCCUUUGGUUUCUUGUAUGAACGUGGCAGCUAUCCUGGUUGGCCUCAGAAAGACUGCAAAUAUAGAGAGUUUUUGUUUGAAUGGUGAGCUCUGAGUCGAAUGCCUAAAUUCAGGUGGUUCUGUUUGGGUUUCUACAUGCAACUGUGAUGAAAGAAUAUUAAUUCUCGUUUGCGAAUGGAAAAAAUAUUUACCAAGUUAAGGAUUUAUGAUAUGUGUGGAUUACAUACGUUUCAAUAAAAAUGGUUUGUAUCGUGUUAGAAGUAGUUAAUGUCGUUUGGAAUAAUGAAAUAAAAAAUGUUGAACAUUUA